UACGUAGGGACCAAGCGUUGUUCGGAUUUACUGGGCGUAAAGGGCGCGUAGGCGGCGCGGUAAGUCACUUGUGACAUCUCUGAGCUUAACUCAGAACGGCCAAGUGAUACUGCAGUGCUAGAGUGUGGAAGGGGCAAUCGGAAUUCUUGGUGUAGCGGUGAAAUGCGUAGAUAUCAAGAGGAACACCUGAGGUGAAGACGGGUUGCUGGGCCAACACUGACGCUGAUGCGCGAAAGCCAGGGGAGCAAACGGG
Molecule: ribosomal RNA, 253 nt
Filed under: uncultured bacterium
Lineage: Bacteria
Description: partial 16S ribosomal RNA
Rfam family: Bacterial small subunit ribosomal RNA
Source: RNAcentral